AUACUCCGAGAACUGAAAGGCUUUUUGAAGUCUUCGGAUGGAUAGAAGAACCCCUGAUGCCGUCGAGCCAAGAAAAGUUUCUAAGUUUAGCUAAUGUUGCCCGUACCGUAAACCGACACAGGUGGGUGGGAUGAGUAUUCUAAGGCGCGUGGAAGAACUCUCUUUAAGGAACUCUGCAAAAUAGCACCGUAUCUUCGGUAUAAGGUGUGGUUCGCUUCGUAUUAGGAUUUACUCCGAAAGCGAAGAAACUUACAACAAAGAGUCCCUCCCGACUGUUUACCAAAAACACAGCACUCUGCUAACUCGUAAGAGGAUGUAUAGGGUGUGACGCCUGCCCGGUGCUCGAAGGUUAAUUGAUGGGGUUAGCAUUAGCGAAGCUCUUGAUCGAAGCCCGAGUAAACGGCGGCCGUAACUAUAACGGUCCUAAGGUAGCGAAAUUCCUUGUCGGUUAAAUACCGACCUGCAUGAAUGGCGUAACGAGAUGGGAGCUGUCUCAAAGAGGGAUCCAGUGAAAUUGUAGUGGAGGUGAAAAUUCCUCCUACCCGCGGCAAGACGGAAAGACCCCGUGGACCUUUACUACAGCUUGACACUGCUAUUUGGAUAAGAAUGUGCAGGAUAGGUGGGAGGCUUUGAGUAUAUGACGCCAGUUGUAUAUGAGCCAUUGUUGAGAUACCACUCUUUCUUAUUUGGGUAGCUAACCAGCUUGAGUUAUCCUCAAGUGGGACAAUGUCUGGUGGGUAGUUUGACUGGGGCGGUCGCCUCCCAAAUAAUAACGGAGGCUUACAAAGGUUGGCUCAGAACGGUUGGAAAUCGUUCGUAGAGUAUAAAGGUAUAAGCCAGCUUAACUGCAAGACAUACAAGUCAAGCAGAGACGAAAGUCGGUCUUAGUGAUCCGGUGGUUCUGUGUGGAAGGGCCAUCGCUCAAAGGAUAAAAGGUACCCCGGGGAUAACAGGCUGAUCUCCCCCAAGAGCUCACAUCGACGGGGAGGUUUGGCACCUCGAUGUCGGCUCAUCGCAUCCUGGGGCUGGAGCAGGUCCCAAGGGUAUGGCUGUUCGCCAUUUAAAGCGGUACGCGAGCUGGGUUCAGAACGUCGUGAGACAGUUCGGUCCCUAUCUGCCGUGGGCGUAAGAAGAUUGAAGAGAUUUGACCCUAGUACGAGAGGACCGGGUUGAACAAACCACUGGUGUAGCUGUUGUUCUGCCAAGAGCAUCGCAGCGUAGCUAAGUUUGGAAAGGAUAAACGCUGAAAGCAUCUAAGCGUGAAGCCAACUCUAAGAUGAAUCUUCUCUAAGCUCUCUAGAAGACUACUAGUUUGAUAGGCUGGGUGUGUAAUGGAUGAAAGUCCUUUAGCUGACCAGUACUAAUAGAGCGUUUGGCUUAUCUUUAAUAAAGCAU
RNAcentral lists this ribosomal RNA (1395 nucleotides) under Campylobacter coli. RNAcentral's name for it is "partial 23S ribosomal RNA". It matches the Rfam family "Bacterial large subunit ribosomal RNA", at positions 1540 to 2925 of the family's 2925-position model. The record is from RNAcentral. Lineage: Bacteria; Pseudomonadati; Campylobacterota; Epsilonproteobacteria; Campylobacterales; Campylobacteraceae.